CCACCAGAGCUCCAUGUGGCUGGGCACCGAGGACGGCGGCAUCCACGUGUACCAGUCCUCGGACAACAUCCGCAACAGGAAGAACAGCAUGAAGAUGCAGCACGCCGCCGCCGUCAUGUGCAUCCUGUACCUGGAUAACCAGGUGUUCGUGUCGCUGGCCAACGGGGAGCUCAUCGCCUACCAGCGGGAGGCAGGUGAGGCCGCGCGCGGCUG
Tinamus guttatus (white-throated tinamou) is the source of this 213-nucleotide non-coding RNA. The record is from RefSeq and is a predicted model, not a curated record. Lineage: Eukaryota; Metazoa; Chordata; Aves; Tinamiformes; Tinamidae.